Molecule: ribosomal RNA, 481 nt
Filed under: uncultured bacterium
Lineage: Bacteria
Description: partial 16S ribosomal RNA
Rfam family: Bacterial small subunit ribosomal RNA
Source: RNAcentral
GACGAACGCUGGCGGCGUGCUUAACACAUGCAAGUCGAGCGGAAAGGCCACUUCGGUGGUACUCGAGCGGCGAACGGGUGAGUAACACGUGGGUAAUCUGCCCCUGGCUUUGGGCUAGCCACCGGAAACGGUGAUUAAUACCGGAUACGACCACUUCUCGCAUGGGAUGGUGGUGGAAAGUUUUUUCGGCCAGGGAUGUGCUCGCGGCCUAUCAGCUUGAUGUUGAUGUAAUGGCUCAACAUGGCUUCGACUGGUAGCCGGCCUGAGAGGGUGCUCGUUGACACUGGGACGGGGACAGGGCCGAGAUUACUAAUGGAGGCAGCAGUGGGGAGUAUUGGAAAAUGAUCGGAAGCCUGAUCCAGCAACGCCGUGUUAGGGAUGAGGGCCUUCGGGUUGUAAACCUCUUGCAGCAGGGACGAAGCGCAAGUGACAGUACCUGCAGAAGAAGCACCGGCCAACUACGUGCCAGCAGCCGCCGCCG